CCUACGGGUGGCUGCAGUGAGGAAUAUUGGUCAAUGGACGAGAGUCUGAACCAGCCAAGUAGCGUGAAGGAUGACUGCCCUAUGGGUUGUAAACUUCUUUUAUAUGGGAAUAAAAUGUUCCACGUGUGGGAUUUUGUAUGUACCAUAUGAAUAAAGAUGGGCUAACUCCGUGCCAGCAGCCGCGGUAAUACGGAGGAUCCGAGCGUUAUCCGGAUUUUUUGGGUAUAAAGGGAGCGUAGGUGGAUUGUUAAGUCAGUUGUGAAAGUUUGCGGCGCAACCGUAAAAUUGCAGUUGAAACUGGCAGUCUUGAGUACAGUAGAGGUGAGCGGAAUUCGUGGUGUAGCGGUGAAAUGCUUAGAUAUCACGAAGAACUCCGAUUGCGAAGGCAGCUUACUGGACUGCAACUGACACUGAGGCUCGAAAGUGUGGGUAUCAAACAGGAUUAGAUACCCCAGUAGUC
Molecule: ribosomal RNA, 460 nt
Filed under: uncultured bacterium
Lineage: Bacteria
Description: partial 16S ribosomal RNA
Rfam family: Bacterial small subunit ribosomal RNA
Source: RNAcentral